AUGGGUUACAAUGGUCUGGAAGCAUGGGUUCGUGGCUUCAAUGAGAGGGAGAUUAUGAUGAUGGAUAAGGUUGGCCUUCCUCUCUGGAGGUGUCUUGUAUCACCUGAUGUGCCGCUGCACCUGGAGAAUCCACAUUCUCACGAGGCUAUUGACACUUUGUGUGCUUUACUGUCUUCCCAGAAGAUUGGAUUUCAGCUGAGACUUUACCGAAUGAUCAUGGCUCCUAUAUCAAUCAUGCAGGAGUGGUGCCUAUACGUCUUUGACAUGAAGCUGAAAAGGCUCAACAUGCUUGAUCCAGUUUACACAGAGCACAGCAAGCAUGCGUACAGGGACACACAUUCAUCCAUAAUUUUCAACACGCUUAACUAUUUCAAGCAUGUUGGGGGAUGA
RNAcentral lists this ribosomal RNA (390 nucleotides) under Triticum aestivum (bread wheat). RNAcentral describes it as "partial small subunit ribosomal RNA". Lineage: Eukaryota; Viridiplantae; Streptophyta; Magnoliopsida; Poales; Poaceae. The record is from RNAcentral.